RNAcentral lists this ribosomal RNA (460 nucleotides) under uncultured bacterium. Its description in RNAcentral is "partial 16S ribosomal RNA". It matches the Rfam family "Bacterial small subunit ribosomal RNA", at positions 338 to 795 of the family's 1533-position model. The record is from RNAcentral.
CCUACGGGAGGCAGCAGUGAGGAAUAUUGGUCAAUGGACGCGAGUCUGAACCAGCCAUGUAGCGUGAAGGAUGACUGCUCUAUGGGUUGUAAACUUCUUUUAUAUGGGAAUAAAAUGUUACACGUGUGGGAUUUUGUAUGUACCAUAUGAAUAAGGCUCGGCUAACUCCGUGCCAGCAGCCGCGGUAAUACGGAGGAUCCGAGCGUUAUCCGGAUUUAUUGGGUUUAAAGGGAGCGUAGGUGGAUUGUUAAGUCAGUUGUGAAAGUUUGCGGCUCAACCGUAAAAUUGCAGUUGAUACUGGCAGUCUUGAGGACAGUAGAGGUGGGCGGAAUUCGUGGUGUAGCGGUGAAAUGCUUAGAGAUCACAAAGAACUCCGAUUGCGAAGGCAGUUCACUGGACUGCAACUGACACUGAGGCUCGAAAGUGUGGGUAUCAAACAGGAUUAGAUACCCCUGUAGUC